RNAcentral lists this long non-coding RNA (2652 nucleotides) under Pollicipes pollicipes. Its description in RNAcentral is "uncharacterized LOC119113811". Lineage: Eukaryota; Metazoa; Arthropoda; Thecostraca; Pollicipedomorpha; Pollicipedidae. The record is from RNAcentral.
GUCGCCCGGCCGCCGCCACGCCAGCGGCUCCCCGGCCCCGGCCGACUACAGCUCAGUGAAACGUCCGGCCACGCCGUCCUCCCCCAGCGACGUGGUCAUGGACUCGCCCACCCACAAACGACCCCGCCUCACCUAAGGCUAAAUGAACUCGUCCGCCAGCUGCGCCGCCCAAAUUAUUAGCCGGAGUCGGCCGGCGACCGGCGCUGUUUUGUGCGUGUGUGUGUGUAUAUACGCGUGCGCGUGUGUGCGCCUGCGUGCACAGACGUGACCACUAAAUUGUCGGUGGGGCCUCAGCGGCGGGGCGUGGCCCAGGGGAUUGCCCGGCGCUCGCGCGGUCCGAUCUCACGGCGCCGGGCCCGGACAGCGUGUCGGCGCCGCGGCCUUCGCGUGCUCGGAUCCCCGGCCGGUGACGUCAUUGGUCACGUCAUCAGUCGGGGGCAGCCGUGCGCGCGCCUCAGGCAGCGGUCGGAGCCGGUAGUGUAGCGUCGCGUCGCGGUGUGUGCGCGGGCGGUGCGGUUGCCGCGCGGGCGGGGUGGGUGGGUAGAUGGGCUGCAGCGCCGGUUGGCGGUGGGGGGCCCGCGGACGCGCCGGCGCGCUGCGGGAAUCAUGAGCUGCUGCGCCGGCUGGACGGCGCCCAGCAGGCAGCCGCCAGCUGUGACGCGCCGCGCUUUCUCGUUUGGCAGCGGCUGGACUCGCGGGGCCCGCCCUGUGUCGACGUUCGGUACCAAGUCAGUCGGGCUCGGUUUAUUACGCGAAAAGCGAGAGGAAAAAUGGCGGCGCUGUCGACAAAGUCCGAAUCGUUACAACAGUUUACUUUUGGACUUGUUUAAAUUUUAUUUGGCGUUGAAUGGGCUAUGCGGUUGAAAUCCCGGUGCACACUUCAUCUGUUGGUACCGUGAUAGGGUGACUGUUGACAUUUAGGCCUGCCACAAUGUGUGUUCGUUCCUUAAGGGGCUAUCAAAAAUGUUUAUACAGCUCUGGCUUGUACCUAAUUUGUUGGUUAAAUGACGUUUUCCUAGAUGUAGUGCCGCAAAAUGUUUACCGCUUCUUGAAUAAAGGAAACACCAGGCUACUUAUGCAUAAUUGAGCCAUGUGGGUAUGCCAUCUGUCCAAGCGCGCUGGUGACGCCGUUUUGUCACGUAACUGAGUACGGACUCCGUUCUCCAAACGUGCAUGUGAUGAGCGUGUACUAUAAGACACAGAUCGGGCUCGUGGUGGGUAGGAUGAGAGUGUCGCCUUGCCCUGCCCACUGCACCAAGACGGCGUGCCAGGCGGGGUCUCAGAUGUGUGUGCGUGUGUGUGUGUGUGUGCGUGUGCUUGUGUGGCCCUGGCCUGGUGCGCGGCCACCUCCCCCGGAGCCGUGGCCCGCCUGCGCCCCGCGCCUGCCAGCCAGUCUCGGUCAGACUGCCAGCUCUGAGCCCCGCGGCGCGGACCCGGGGCCGCUGCGGGUUGGUGCCGGCCCGCUGGCGGCCGGCGGCGCCACCGGCGCCCUGUGUGCUCCUCUGCGGACGGCGGCUCGAUGUCGCUCUGAUGCCGAACCGCCGCGGGGCCUGCUCAGCCGUGCCGCCUCAGCCGUACGGUCUCAGCCGCGCUGGGGUGGCCGUGAGGGCCGCCGUUAUCGUGUGACGCCUGUUCGUGAGGCGAUGGGUCCCGCCGCCCCGGUUCGUGAGGCGAUGGGUCCCGCCGCCCUGGUCCGUGAAGUGGUGGGCCCCGUCGCCCCGGUCCGUGGAGUGGUGGGCCCCGCCGCCCCAGUCUGUGAAGUGGUGGGCCCCGCCGCCCCUGGUCUGUGAGGUGGUGGGUCCCGCCGCCCCGAUCCGUGAAGUGGUGGGCCCCGCCGCCCCGGUCCGUGAGGUGGUGGGCCCCGCCGCUCCAGUCCGUGAGGUGGCCCAACGCGCUUCUCUGGAGGUCGCUGUCUUGCUCUGCCCUCUCCCCAUCCGCUCGCACGCCUGUCAUGUUCUGAAAGUGGGGUUGCCCCUCCCCCUGACCGGGCUGUCGGCGGACCUGUCCUGCGCUGUCGGCCCAGACGCGGCGGGGUCAUGAGGUGCCUGACGGGGUGCAUGCGGCGGACAUCGCCCGGUUGCCUGCGCGCUACCGAACCUCGCAUUUGAGUCCCAGUGCGGACAGUUUGGCGGCGUGUGGCGUGUGGCUGCGAUUGCGGUAAUAAAGAUUGCUAAAACGCGCCUGGCGUGCUCAGCGGUGCGCGCAGUGGGCAGCAGCAGCACUAAUGCAGCAGACGGUGAUCGGUGGGCGACGGAUCGGGCAGCGUUGUCGGCGUUGAGCACCUCCCUUUGUUUCAUAUGUGAUGUGUUCUUUCCUUCAUUGACGAGCUGAAUGACCGAGCUGUUUCCUGUAAGGUCUUCAUUCGCGUAGGCAUUGUCGGGCUGAUCCGGGCAUAGCGAACGAGCAAGGAAAACGAGAGAGCGAGUGCAGGUGUGCAGGCGAGAGCGACUCCCAGCGGUCUUGUUUGCUCGUUUGCUGGCCUGUCGGGGUGAUGGUCGAGCUGUGAUCGCGAAAGCGUGCUGUAUAGAGCGAUAGCACAGAGUUGUCGGUGGACCAUGCGGUGCUUAGGCAGCAGUAGAACUCAUAAAGCUGACACAUUUUUCUUCACCAUCUCAAAAAGGCCCGCCUCAAUAAAACGUGUUAUGUAAGGUA